RNAcentral lists this long non-coding RNA (1754 nucleotides) under Mus musculus (house mouse). Its description in RNAcentral is "long non-coding RNA chr17:70330356-70332110". The record is from RNAcentral. Lineage: Eukaryota; Metazoa; Chordata; Mammalia; Rodentia; Muridae.
UUUUAGGGUUUUGUUUCUUGUAUUGUGUAAUGCUAUUUUAUCUGUGGUGCCGAGGGUUGAAGCAUGGGAAGUGUGAGGAAUGAGCAAGUAUUCCAACACCAAGUGUGUUAUAGUGUCUGUGGUUCUUGGUUUUUAUCUGCAAGGGCCAAAUGAGGCAAUUACAACAGAAUGGCAUAGUCAAGAAAGCUCGAAGUGGGCAGUAAUUGAGCUGUCACAUCUCUGUAGCCUUUCUUCAGAGACCAAUUAACUAGUUUGGGGGACACACCUAUGCUUAAGGAUGGUCAGUGAUUUCAGAUGCCUCCUUCUCCCUCCAUUUCCAAAGCUUUCUCCCUCUGUAGUCUCUUCAUGUCAGGCGUGUCUCCUGAGUUUUUCCUAGAGUACUGAGCACAGUGUUUCAAUGGGAAAUCUGUGGGCAUUCGGGGAAACCACAGAAUGCAAAAACAAUCAUAAUUAAUUAAUUAAUUAAUUAUAAUAAUAAACUACUUUCCAGUGUUUCUCAAUACUUAAUUCCAUUUUAAUUCACUUGGACUCAUUAAAAUACCUUGGUCCACUAUGGCCCAAAUUGUCAGGUCUUGCAUCUGUUUCUAAUUUGGUCACUGACUCUGACCUCAAGCAGAACCCUCCACACAGAGAGAUGCUGAUGGCCUGAGGAGGAAUAAUUUAGGGGCCAUGCAAACAUCAUGCGUCCAUUUCCUGAUUGUCAUGCCAGCUUUAACCUUUAAGAACCCACUUAUCUUGGUAAGGAUUCAGCCCUUAGUUGUGGGGGUCCCUCUCCAGCUGUUUUUCCUCCACUCAUUUGAGUAGCAGGAGACCCUUCCAGAGCAUGUAGAAAGCAGGAAAUGGUUGAUAGAGGGUAAGUCUGUAGUUGUAUAUGCUUGUGAAAGCAGCAGUUGUAGCAGGCAGAUCAUUACCUACAGGGACACAGGGUGCUCUCCAUGAUCUCGGUGGCGUUCUUGAGGGAAAAUAUUGUGUAGCUAACAAAGGGAGGAAAAUUCUAUUAAAAACACAGCUUAUCUCAAAUCCACAAUUCUUUUGAAAAACCUCAGCCUUAUUGUAGAUGAUUGUAUUCUGUGAUUUCUCUUGACAGAUGAGUGGAUUUUUAUAUGGUUUAAGUCUUAGAAAAUGCGUUUUCUAUAUGUUUCUUUUCACAGUGACUAGAUGGUUUAAGUUAAUUGAAUAAGCCAAGAAAAACAACACCAACAUGUGGUUGGGAUUUUAGCUUUAAGUUCUUUAUUCUGUCUUUUAGCUCUCAUUUUCAGAAGUCACUAUUACAUCAGAAGAGACAUUAACAGUAAAUAGUAUUAUAAUGUCUAGUUUCCUGUUUUGAAGCAAAUAUGUGGUCCUCCCAACUAGGUUCGGUUGUGUCUUUUUUAUAGCAUGUUUAACUCUGAGAAAUCAUUCUCUCUGGCUCACUGGUCGAUGAUCCCUUAUAGUCCUUGCCAUUGGCUGACAUUUUUAUUCUACAGAUGGUACUAAUUAAAUAAGUGCUUCCCAAGGUACUUGUCCACUAUUCUUUUUCUGAGGUCAAAAUCUUCCUUUACCUUGGUUUUUCUCAGACUCUCUUGUCCCUGUUACCCUUAUGCCUGCCCUGCCACAUUUUUGCAUAAAGUUUGACUAAUCACUACUAGCAGUUCUAGUAGUCAACUACUGACCCUGGGACAAGGCCCUGGCUGAUUGAGAGAAUGGCAUCUAUUUUCACUCGCAGUAUUGGAGGAUUUGCUGUCACACACAAGGGAUUUUUUUGCCUCCAUGAU